GGAAUCAACGCUGGCGGCGUGCCUAACACAUGCAAGUCGCACGAGAAAGGGGAGCAAUCCCUGAGUAAAGUGGCGCACGGGUGAGUAACACGUGAAUGAUCUACCUCCGAGUGGGGAAUAACUGAGAGAAAUCUGGGCUAAUACCGCAUAAUACCUUCGGGUCAAAGGAGCAAUUCGCUUAAGGAGGGGGUCGCGGCCGAUUAGUUAGUUGGCGGGGUAAUGGCCCACCAAGACUGUGAUCGGUA
Molecule: ribosomal RNA, 245 nt
Filed under: uncultured bacterium
Lineage: Bacteria
Description: partial small subunit ribosomal RNA
Rfam family: Bacterial small subunit ribosomal RNA
Source: RNAcentral